AUCUUAUAUUGUGGCUUUCUAAUGUUUUACAUUUAUCCUUAUCUUUUUUUCAGUUAAUUAUGCUUUAAAAAACAUUAUUGUGUUAAAAAUGCUCUGUUCAAAUUGUUUUAUUUAAGACAAAUGAAAAUGACAGAUACAAUGACUGGAAAAUCACCUUCAAUCCACCAGAAGUGACCGCCGUUUCAGGAUUAUGCGCUCUCAUUUCAUGUACCUUCAUUCACCCAGACAAAGAUCAACCUCAAAUUGAUCAGGAAAAUGUGUGUAAUAAUCCAACUGAAUGUAAGAAUGAAACUGAGAUACAAAUCGAAGGAAAACAGCUAUUUGAAACAGAACAGAUUAAGUUGCUUGAACCUGAUCUGUCCAAAAACAACUGCAGCAGAAUCAUCAAAGAAAUAAAAGAAGAUGAAAGAGAAAUUGUUUUCAAAAUUGUGCGGAAUAAAAAAACUUUAUCUAAAGCCAGUGUCAAAAUCAUCAUUCAAGACGAGCCUAUAAUGAAGAUUCCUCCUCUCAGAGAGGGAGAGAAGGCCGAUCUGACAUGUUCAGCUCCUUUUCCUUGUCCUGAAACUUCUCCUAAUAUAACAUGGUGGAUCAGGAAAAGAGGGGGAAACAGCACUUAUCUAAAGGACAACAUCAUUCUGAGCACCUCCGAAAGCCUUUACCUCUCAACUUUGACUCUAACUCCAACCUGUGACGAUCACAAUGCCACUAUAGGAUGUAAAGUGAGCUACGGAAGCAAAAAUCAUCAGUACAAAUAGGACCCUCAACUUCACGUGUGUUACAACUGAUUCAAAAGGGAACAAGCCCUCUAGUCCUAAAGGUAAAAACAACACACAGAAUGACAUCAGCAAUACUACAGGUAAUACUGAGCAUGUACAUACUGCAGAAACUGCAUCUUUAUUUCAGGGUGAAUAUGAUUUAGCCAUUUAGGAUAUUUUUCUUGUUUGACAUUGUUGCAGAACAACACUGCUCUCAACCAAUCAGAUUUAGGGUGAUGGUUAAGUUUAGGAUUAGGGCUGGGGUUGAGGACUAAACAAAAGUAUUAUUAAACUAAUAUUUCCUUCUUAUUUUACAUUCAAGAUAAAGCGGCUUUUCAAGUGCAUGUGGACAUCAAAAUGAUAACAGCAUUUCUGAUGGGAAUGUCAACUUCAGCAGUCAUCUUCUCUGUGGUUUUGUGCUGUCAAGGGUCCUGGAAAAGGUAUCACCUACAUAUAUAAGUGAAAAGCUAAAAUGUGCAACACUUUCAACAAAAUGCAUAGAUUUUAUAUACUGAUCAUAUAAAGGUGUUUGGCAUGCUUGUUUGAUUAAGUUUCUGGUUGAUGAGAAAUCAUGUGAAUACUGUCAUCUGUAAACAGACACUCAUUAUUUUAAUAUGACACUCAAAUAAUUUACUGUGCUUUGAUUCUGUCUUAUUGCCUACACUCUUAAAAAUAAAGGUGCUUUAAAGGUUCUUAACAGUGAUGCCACACUGUAAACCCCGACAAGUUAACUUAACUCAAACCGUUUGAGUAAACAGGUUGCCUUGAUUUAAACCAUGUAAGUUUUAAAACUUUGCAUUCAAGUAAUUAAGUGAUUAACUAAGUGCUGAUUGUGAAUUAGUGAUGAACAGCUGCUGUUAACAAACAGAAUCACUGAAGAAAAGAGAAACACAAGAACUACUACAACUGACUUCAGACACAGACUUAGAUGAAAUCAACUGAAAUAAAAUACAUGAAAUCUCUCAAGAUCUGAUUAAACAACCCACAAACAGCAUCAGCAGCUCCACUUAUUAAUAACCAGACUGACUUUAUUUCUGUCAGACGUCUACAGAAGAUCUUAUUGAGAAUGAACUAAGGUUUAGAUGUUGAUUUAUUGUUUCAUUUGAAGUAACCAUGUUAGAGAUCACUGUUUGCUUUAGUUGUGCUCUUGACCCCUGCCUUAGUCUUUUUUCUGGCUGUUAUAACCGUGUGUUUCUAAAACACAUUUGUUGUAACUCAAAAGCCCAGAAGAAAUGCCAUCAGGUGUUAACCUGUUAGAGUUGUGACGUUCGCGAACGAACCGAUUCUUUUGAACGGCUCAUAAACAUGAACGAUGGGAGCCGAGUCGCGACUGGAGAGGAGCCGUUCUUUCUAUCGUUCUUUUUUCCUAUGCGUGUUCAUACAAAUGAGCUCCGCCAGGAGACAGAACAGUUAUAGGGGGAGGGGCGCACCCAGCGCAGGCCAACCCUUUAUAGCGUGAUGAUAUUAGUUAUUAGUUGUGCAUGCAUUUACAUUGCAUUUUGUGUUCAUUUAAAACUUAUUUUAAAAUCAUUAAAAAUGUUCUUUUGUGAUACUGUACUUGUAUAGAAAUUUUUCACUAAAAGCUGUUUUCCACAGACAUUCAUUGCAGCCCACUUUGUUAUUGUUCAUUGACUUGAAGGGGUUGAUGUCCUAUUUGCAAAGUUUACAGUAGUAAUAGUAUGUAGUAUGUAGACAUUUCCAUUUUAUUUAUUCUAAUUUUAUCUACUUUAAAAAAAAAUAGUUUUCUAUCAAAAUGUUCUUGUGUGAUAACAAUGUUCUUGUGUGGAAGUGUUUGUAGUAAAAGCUGUUUUGCACAGAAAUUCAUUGCAGCCGGCUUCGUUUUUUAUGUUUAUUUGUGAGUAGGUAUUGUAUGAAUAACAUAAGUCAACGUAGUUUUACACACACACACACACUUUGUACUAAAGGUAAAUCAAAAUAAUGAUGUCACUGUCUAAGCAGAGGGAUUUGUGCAACCCUAUGGAAUAUAGUCCACACAUGAGAAAUGAGGUAACAAUCAAUAUUUCAGAAUAAUUCAAACUCAGAUAUUGGUGUGUGAUAUCUGAGCUUUAAUUAUUUGACUAACAAAUCUCACCUCAUAAUACCUCCCAGUGAUUAUUUCCAGGAUAAACUGAGAUGCUCCCAAGCUGGCUUCUUAAAACUGACUAAAUAUUUAAAAAGAGCCAAAAGAGCCAUUCUUUUGAACGGCUCUUUGAAAGGAACGGAUCGCGAAGAUCCGGAUCCCCUCAAAGAGCCAUAAAUCCCAUCACUAUAACCUGUACCUAGAUGUAGGUUGUUAUACUUUAUAUUGGUAUAACAACCAAUUAUAUAUAUUAUUAUGCAACUGCUAGGAGUCUAAUCUCUGAUGAAAUAUGGGUUGUGUAAUUAAAUUGACUAUAGUGAAAGUGAUUUUUAGAGCCAGUGGUUCUGUAAUAAUCAGUUAAUACAAAGACUUUCCAAACAGUGUGGUCUUCUAUGGUGUCAGUUAGUCACACACAGACAUCAAUAAUCAGAAUAUGAACCUCAACAAGGGUGACCAUAAAAGAAAAAAAAAAAUGCUGCAGAGCAUGCUGGGAGCCAUGGAUGAGUUUUGUACUACAACCCAGCAUGCAUUGCAGCAUGUUUUUUUGUCACCAUUGUUGAGGUUCAUAUUCUGAUUAUUGAUGUCUGUGUUUGACCAGUUACUGGCAUAGAAGAAAAAUGUAUGUGUACAAAAUGUUUAUGAAAUCAUUUUUAUAUUAACUGAUUAUCACAGAAUCACUGGCUCUUAGUGUCAUUUUUAUUAGGUCCACUUCUACUAAUUACACAUUUGUUUAAUCAGAGAUUAGACUAUGUAUAGAUCAAUAUUUGUGAAUAAUAAUGAAAAAUUAUCAUCACAGCUAUAAAGUACAACAAUCUACAUCUAGGUACAGGUGAACACCUGAUGGCAUUUCUUCUGGGCUUUUGAGUUACAACAAAUGUGUUUUAGAAACACACGGUUAUAACAGCCAGAGAAAAGACUAAGACAGAAGUCAAGGGUCAAGAGCCCAACUAAAGCAAACACUGAUCUCUAACAUGGUUACUUCAAAUGAAACAAUAAAUCAACAUCUAAACCUUAGUUCUUUCUCAAUAAGAUCUUCUGUAGACGUCUGACAGAAAUAAAGUCAGUCUGGUUAUUAAUAAGUGGAGCUGGUGAUGCUGUUUGUGGGGUUGUUUAAUCAGAUCUUGAGAGAUUUCAUGUAUUAUAUUUCAGUUGAUUUCAUCUAAGUCUGUGUCUGAAGUCAGUUGUAGUAGUUCUUGUGUUUCUCUUUUCUUCAGUGAUUCUGUUUGUUAGCAGCAGCUGUUCAUCACUAAUUCUCAAUCAGCACUUAGUUAAUCGCUUAAUUACUUAAUUGCAAUGUAUAUCUUCUUUCAGUGAACUCAACUGAAUUAAGUUCAGAGUACUCGUAACUAUUAGUUUUUUUAACUUAAAUGGUUUAAGGCAAUCAGUUUCCUCAAAUGGUUUGAGUUAACAUAACUUGUCAGGUUUGAGUGAGGCUGUGUCUGAAGUCAGCUGUUGUUCCUUUCUCUCUUUUCUUCAGUAAUUAUGUUUGUUAACAGCAGGUGUUCAUCACUAAAGCUCAAUUAAUCACUUAAUCACUUAAUUGCAAUGUAUAUCUUCUUUCAGGGAACUCAACUGAAUUAAGUUCAGAGUACUCAUAACUGUUAGUUUUUUUCAACUUAAAUGGUUUAAGGCAAUCGGUUUCCUCAAACGGUUUGAGUUAACAUAACUUAAGGAUAUCUGUUUACUCAAACCGUUUGAGUUAAGUUUACUUGUCGGGUAUUACAGUCAAGGCAAUCGGUUUACUCAAACGAUUUGAGUUGAGUUAACUUGUCGGGUUUUACAGUGCAUAGAAGAAGCAUUUUUGGUUCCACAAAGAACCAUUCAGUCAAAGGUUCUUUAAAGAACCAUCUCACUGACAUUUUUAUAAUCUGAAGAACUUUCUUUUGUCACAAAUAAACUUUUAUAAAGCAGAAAGGUUCUUUAGAUGUUAAAGGUUCUUUAUGGAAACAUUGAGACCAAAAUGUUAUUCUAUCUCUGGCAUUGUGAAGCACAUUUAUUCAUAAGAGUGUACAUAAUAUCUUUUCCUGCAGGGACAAGACAUAUGGAGUGGUAGCCACGAACACAUACACUGAAGUUGUACUGGAAUAUUUUCAAGGAAAAAGUUUAAGGAGAUACUGUAUGAAAGAGUGAGAUUAAUCAUUUGGAUUAAAUGAUUUGAAUUUAUAACUUAUAGUUUUUUUUUUUUAUUAUCAUGUUGGAUAUAGAUUUUUCUGAAAUUGUAAAAUAUAAUAUAUUAAGUCACUUCUUCACAAAUUUAGAAACUUAAUUCUGUCUGAGUUUAUCUUUGUUAUUGCUGAAUGAUUUCUCCUUGUUCAGAGAUAUUUUCUUUGACAAAUAAAACAGUGUUAAUUAAUUCAAAGUGUUUAAAUUUCAUUCUUUCAGUGUUUUAGACUUUAGAGGAUGUUAUAGGACUAAAGGGAAUUUUAGACUACUCAGGUUUACAGUACGUAUAUGAUAAAUGCAGAUGAGAAGCUGUGAAGAACAGAAUAUAUUCAUUUAUUUAUUCAUUCAUUCAUUCAUUCAUUUAUAUACUUAUAUAUAAUUACUAGUAAUACUUUAGGUACAUUUGGUAUAAGAUUAAGGAUGAAUUUGUGCAUAUUGUGAAUUAAAAUGAAUAAAAAAAAAAGAAUUUCCUGACAUU
Long non-coding RNA from Carassius auratus (goldfish), 5476 nucleotides. NCBI's taxonomy places the organism in Eukaryota, Metazoa, Chordata, Actinopteri, Cypriniformes, Cyprinidae. The record is from Ensembl.